Molecule: ribosomal RNA, 323 nt
Filed under: uncultured bacterium
Lineage: Bacteria
Description: bacterial SSU rRNA
Rfam family: Bacterial small subunit ribosomal RNA
Source: RNAcentral
GACGAACGCUGGCGGCGUGCUUAACACAUGCAAGUCGAGCGGUAAGGCCCUUUCGGGGUACGGCGAGCGGCGAACGGGUGAGUAACACGUGGGUGACCUGCCCUCCAGCUCUGGGAGUAAAGCCUCGGGAAACCGGGUACCUAAUACUGGAUAUGACUCCAUGACGCAUGUUGGUGGGGUGGAAAGCCUUGUGCGGCUGAGGAUGGGCCCGCGGCCUAUCAGCUUGUUGGUGGGGUGAGGCCUACCAAGGCGACGACGGGUAGCCGGCCUGAGAGGGCGACCGGCCACACUGGGACUGAGACACGGCCCAGACUCCUACGGGA